Molecule: transfer RNA, 70 nt
Filed under: Anomaloglossus tepuyensis
Lineage: Eukaryota; Metazoa; Chordata; Amphibia; Anura; Aromobatidae
Description: tRNA-Asp
Source: RNAcentral
GAGAAUUUAGUUAACCUAUAACACUACCUUGUCAAGGUAGAAUGAUGGGCUAAAACCCCCAUACUUCUCU